GUCACAAAGACCUUCCUUCUCCCUGCUAACACCAGCUCUGUGCUGGGAGGCCACACCAACCACCACAGUAUGCGCUCACACACAGAAUGCCACGGGGUUUUAGCACUGAUUCUGCCGAAGAAAUGGCUGAAGAGGAAACGGAGCCCAAAUUUUACCAGGAUGACCAGGGCCCCACCCUCGCAGGGAGCUCCCACCCGGAUUAAAGCGUCCCUUGAAGCUCGACAUGGGCCCUGCCUGAGUUCUGCUGGCUGGAAUGUGGGCACAGUGGCUGGAGCUGCAGCAGACAUUUGGACCAUGACUUGGAAACUGAGUUGAAAAAGGCAGGAGCUUGGGACCCUGGUGAUCAUGCAGCCACCAAAGCAUCCCUGGACCACCUACCUCUGAACUGUGUUUAUGUGAAAGGACAAAUUCUGCCCUAUUGAAACCUCGGUUGUGUUGGGUUUUGCUGUGAAGACAAUUAAACAUGCUCAUAACAAAAGGGGUGGAGAGGCUGGGCAUUAGUUACCCAUUGCAGUGGGGCGGGAGGGACAACAAAUGGUACUGGCAAUACCCAGGGUGGGACUGGCUGCGAUGACCAGGCGGGGCUGGCUGAGUGGUUGGUGGCUGGCUGGGAGCUGGGUGCCCUGGGGCAGCGGGCUGUCGGGAACAGUGUUCUAAGAGCUAGUGGUCAGCAGGUGGGAGGUCUCUGAUGGCAGCCAGAUAGGACGGGAAACUGGCAUGUGAGUUGAGAUGGAGGCAGGGGGAGAGGAGGCCAGAGGGUGGUUGGGCUAGACAGGCUCCGACCUUGAGGUUGGCUGGUUCUGACAGCCACCCCCAGUUGUCCACCUCCUCCUCCCUGCUCCCCGUUUCACACCCAUCAUCACUGAUCUAUACUGAUGCUCAGAUGCAACUGCCUGCUCCACCGGGACUAAUUGUGACCUUGGACAAGAGACUUCUCCUCUCUGAGCUUCAGUGUUUUUCACCAGGAAAGCAGGGGCUGGGGAGAAUGAUAGCAGCCACCUUGCGGGCGAUGGUGCAGAUCAAGUGAGAAAAGACACACAAAGCACUUAUGCACCUGUCAUACAGUGUCUGUAAAAUAAAGACAUGAAAUGUUAAAAGGCCGGUGAGAGAGGUAUGUGGUGAGACUUGGCAGGCAUGCCGCUGAGGCUCUGAGAGGUGCAGCAACUUGGCCAAGGUCACACAGCAAGUAGAUGGUCUGGUGGAGACCAGAGCCUCUGGGCUGCGUCCAGAAUGGCUAUUCUUCCCACUUUAUGUUGCUGGCUAAGUGGGGUGUCACUGGCCUUGUGGGAGCUUUGGGGGAACCAGAAGAAGCCCGAAAAGCAGGGCUGCAGCUCACCCUCAGCCCACCCCAGGGCGGAGGGGCUGGCACAGAGCUGGGACCCACCUGAGCCAUGGCUGGGCAGGAAGUGGUCCAGGAAGGCUGGCUUUUUCCUCCGCCGCUUGCUCUCGAUGCCAUGGGGGUCUGCGGGAAGGCAGAGGUGAGGACCCCUGGACCCAAUAGCCCCUCCUCCCCAGCCUGGGGCAGGGCAGGACAGGGGGGACCUGGAGAUGGGGUGGGAAGGGGCAAAGGGGACACACCAGAACUGUUCAGCUCUCCCAGGACGUCGGGCAUCCCCCGUUUCCGCUUCUUGUCCACACCGUAGCUGUCUGUUCAGGAGAUAUCAGGGACAUACAGAGUAAUCCAUCAACAACAACAAUUAAGAAUUAAUUUUAGAGGCCGUUUAGAAAGUUGUUGAGCUUGACCAACCCAUGCAAAUAGAUGUCCACAUCUUAAUCAGAAUACAACGCAAAUCCACUCCUAACCAAGCUGGUCUUUGUUGUUCCUGGAAAACCCCAGGCACUAUCCUGCCUCAGGGCCUUUGCACUUGCUGUUCUAGCUGCUUAAAACACUCUUCCUCACCCUGGCCAGUGUUGCUCAGUGGUUAGAGGGUCAGCCCAAGCACCCAAGGGUCUCAGGUUUGAUUCCCGGUCAAGGGCAUAUACUUAGGUUGGAAGUUCUGUCCCCUGCCCGAUCCCUGGUGCCUAGCGAACAGCAACCCAUUGAUGUGUCUCUCUCAUAUCGAUGCUUCUCUCUCCCCUUUCUCCCUCCCUCCCUUCCACUCUCUCUAAAAAAAAAAAAA
Molecule: long non-coding RNA, 2120 nt
Organism: Myotis myotis
Lineage: Eukaryota; Metazoa; Chordata; Mammalia; Chiroptera; Vespertilionidae
Exons: 2
Source: RefSeq, a predicted model, not a curated record